AUUUUCUGUUUGCAGUAUAACAUUAUUUGCCAAUCUGUCCAUACAUGAUCAUGUUAUUGCCAAAGAAAAGGGGUGGGGGUGCACAUGCAAGAGUACACCAAGCCAUAAGAUGACAUUUUAUUCAACAAAGCCAACCAAACAACAACAUUUUAAUCGUACCCUCAGAAUCAUCAGCACAUAGCCUUCACAGGAACUUUGACAUAAAAUAAUAGGUUUCACAGCAUAUAAAGUCAAAUUAUAAGGAUAACAUGCAAGCAAAGCAUAGGGCCACCGAAAGGCCAUUUGUAUAUACAUCCCAACACUUCAUGUUCAGCAGUUCAUUAGGUGCCAAGUCUUUGUGCUCAAAUUUUUGCCCUACACGUGAGAAGUCAAUCCCUUGUGCUGUUCUUGAGCCAUUCUAGGUAUGGAAUGCUGCCACCAGUUAUAGGCAAGGAGAUUACUUCUGGUACCCUGAACAAAGAAAAAUGAAAAUAAGUAAUGAGCAGAGCAAAAUAAUCUAGCUAAUAUUUAUCAUUAUUUCCUUAAUUUUUCUCAACCAUUUCUAAGCGAUUUUCUUUUUGAGCUGUAGAGGAAUGCAACUGCAAUUAUCCUAAUAGACAUAAUGACCAUAUUCUAAGUAAAAAACAAAGUUGGAAUCAAAUUUUUAAUCCCAUCGCCCAAAAAUUAAGUUGAUCUUCCACAUGUAUCAUUUACUUAUCUUAAAAAGCAGAUCUUCUAAAGCAAUUUUUGCUACGCGAUUGACAUAUAUGGUACUUAUCUUUAUUGUUAUACAUACUCAUAUUCAUGAUUUGCCUUGACAUGCUCUGUUAGUGCUUCCAACAGAGAUUGCCUAGUCUUGAUUAUAAGUAGCUCCUCUGAAUCUGUCUGGACCUGCAACCAAUAUAGACAGAAGCAACUUAAAACUUAAUUGCACAAGGGCAUACAUAAACAGAAGAUGGUGUAAAACAUCUGGACUGAGAAUGGAAGUAAAGACAUUUGAGGCUUAUAUAUAAAAGAUCUAGAAUAAUUUGGGAAAAUGGAUUCAUACCUCUCCCUUCCACUCAUAUACUGAUUCAAUACCUGGUACUAUGUUCACACAUGCUGCUAGUUUCUCUUUGAUUAUGCUUUGAGCCAACUUUUUUCCUGCAUCUCGGUUAGGGACAGUAACGUACACAACGAUACUGGGUACAGUGUUGCCACUUGCUUCCAUUUUGAUAGUAUUAGCUUGCGAUUGGGUGCUAAACUUUGAUCUCAACAGAGAUACAAAGGGGAGAGAUUGAGCGCAACCCGUCUUGAGGGAAGAGGAGAGAGUGGGGCAAAGAUUGGAGAGGCCGAAGCUCAGCAUGCAAAAUGCCCCAACUAGGGGCAAACGCCUUCGAAUUGCAGAAGAAGAGAAGACAGAUGCAGCUCCAGCCGAACACAUGGCGUAAGCCAUUCUGUGUUUAUAUACACCGACGGUUUCAUUUGCUUGGGUUCGGAGCCAUGCUCUGAUACCUUUACCCCCGAGAAGAGACAACUUCUUGUUCUGCCACGU
RNAcentral lists this unclassified non-coding RNA (1513 nucleotides) under Hevea brasiliensis (rubber tree). Lineage: Eukaryota; Viridiplantae; Streptophyta; Magnoliopsida; Malpighiales; Euphorbiaceae. The record is from RNAcentral.